This 328-nucleotide ribosomal RNA is filed under the name uncultured Chloroflexota bacterium. RNAcentral describes it as "bacterial SSU rRNA". It matches the Rfam family "Bacterial small subunit ribosomal RNA", at positions 28 to 351 of the family's 1533-position model. The record is from RNAcentral. Lineage: Bacteria; Bacillati; Chloroflexota.
GAUGAACGCUGGCGGCGUGCCUAAUACAUGCAAGUCGAACGAGGUGCUUUGUAGCAAUACGAAGUAUCCUAGUGGCGAACGGGUGAGUAACGCGUUGGUGACCUACCCCAAAGUGUGGGAUAACAGUCCGAAAGGAUUGCUAAUACCGCAUGUGGUCUCUGGAUUUAGAAACCGGUGACUAAAGGAGCAAUUCGCUUUGGGAGGGACCUGCGUCCCAUCAGCUAGUUGGUGAGGUAACGGCUCACCAAGGCGACGACGGGUAGGGGACCUGAGAGGGUGACCCCCCACAAUGGAACUGAAACACGGUCCAUACACCUACGGGUGGCAG